GAUGAACGCUGGCGGCGUGCUUAACACAUGCAAGUCGAACGAUGAAGCCCAGCUUGCUGGGUGGUUUAGUGGCGAACGGGUGAGUAACACGUGAGUAACCUGCCCUUAACUCUGGGAUAAGCCUGGGCAACUGGGUCUAAUACCGGAUAGGAGCGUCCACCGCAUGGUGGGUGUUGGAAAGAUUCAUCGGUUUUGGAUGGACUCGCGGCCUAUCAGCUUGUUGGUGGGGUAAUGGCUCACGAAGGCGACGACGGGUAGCCGGCCUGAGAGGGUGACCGGCCACACUGGGACUGAGACACGGCCCAGACUCCUACGGGAGGCAGCAGUGGGGAAUAUUGCACAAUGGGCGCAAGCCUGAUGCAGCGACGCCGCGUGAGGGAUGACGGCCUUCGGGUUGUAAACCGCUUUCAGUAGGGAAGAAGCGAAAGUGACGGUACCUGCAGAAGAAGCACCGGCUAACUACGUG
This 466-nucleotide ribosomal RNA is filed under the name uncultured bacterium. Its description in RNAcentral is "partial 16S ribosomal RNA". It matches the Rfam family "Bacterial small subunit ribosomal RNA", at positions 28 to 507 of the family's 1533-position model. The record is from RNAcentral.